AGGGUUUGAUUCUGGCUCAGGAUGAACGCUGGCGGCGUGCCUAACACAUGCAAGUCGAGCGAAGCGAUCUGAUGGAAGUUUUCGGAUGGAAGUCAGAUUGACUGAGCGGCGGACGGGUGAGUAACGCGUGGGUAACCUGCCUCAUACAGGGGGAUAACAGUUAGAAAUGGCUGCUAAUACCGCAUAAGCACACAGGACCGCAUGGUCCGGUGUGAAAAACUCCGGUGGUAUGAGAUGGACCCGCGUCUGAUUAGCUAGUUGGUAAGGUAACGGCUUACCAAGGCGACGAUCAGUAGCCGACCUGAGAGGGUGACCGGCCACAUUGGGACUGAGACACGGCCCAA
Molecule: ribosomal RNA, 344 nt
Filed under: uncultured bacterium
Lineage: Bacteria
Description: bacterial SSU rRNA
Rfam family: Bacterial small subunit ribosomal RNA
Source: RNAcentral